This 625-nucleotide non-coding RNA is filed under the name Acyrthosiphon pisum (pea aphid). RNAcentral describes it as "Eukaryotic small subunit ribosomal RNA". It matches the Rfam family "Eukaryotic small subunit ribosomal RNA", at positions 1 to 563 of the family's 1831-position model. Lineage: Eukaryota; Metazoa; Arthropoda; Insecta; Hemiptera; Aphididae. The record is from Rfam by way of RNAcentral.
UCCCUGGUUGAUCCUGCCAGUAGUCAUAUGCUUGUCUCAAAGAUUAAGCCAUGCAUGUCUCAGUGCAAGCCGCAUUAAGGUGAAACCGCGAAAGGCUCAUUAAAUCAGUUGUGGUUCCUUAGAUCGUACCCAAGUUACUUGGAUAACUGUGGUAAUUCUAGAGCUAAUACAUGCCGACAGAGUUCCGACCGUCGCGGCGCCCUCGGGCGUCGCUCGCGGGAGGAACGCUUUUAUUAGAUCAAAACCGGCCCGUCGCGGCGCGCUUCGUGCGCGUCCCGAUCGCGGCCCGCGCAAAGACCUGGUGACUCUGAAUAACUUCGAGCUGAUCGCACGGUCUCCGUACCGGCGACGCAUCUUUCAAAUGUCUGCCUUAUCAACUGUCGAUGGUAGGUUCCAUGCCUACCAUGGUGGUAACGGGUAACGGGGAAUCAGGGUUCGAUUCCGGAGAGGGAGCCUGAGAAACGGCUACCACAUCCAAGGAAGGCAGCAGGCGCGCAAAUUACCCACUCCCGGAACGGGGAGGUAGUGACGAAAAAUAACGAUACGGGACUCAUCCGAGGCCCCGUAAUCGGAAUGAGAACACUUUAAAACCAUUUAAACGAGGAUCAAUUGGAGGGCAAGUCUG